Molecule: long non-coding RNA, 571 nt
Organism: Rattus norvegicus (Norway rat)
Lineage: Eukaryota; Metazoa; Chordata; Mammalia; Rodentia; Muridae
Source: Ensembl
CGGAGGAGGACGUCCAUGAGGCCGCGUGUGACCAUGUAAGGUAAACAGGGGGCUCAUGAAGUCACUGAGGACCAAUGCGGCACUCGGAGCGGACCCUGGGGCGGGGCCAGGCCCCGACGGCAGCCGCCGAUUGGCGCGCUGCGGAUCUCCCUGCUGCCUUACAAGGCGGUACAAGGGCUCAGAGAACCAGUGGAAGAGGAGAAAGAAGGAGUAUAAGAGCCAGAGGGAUGGGGGACAGCAAGAAAACAAGGCCCUGUAAACCAACGGGACUGAUGUACACAUGAACUUACAGAGACUGAGGCAUCGUGCACAGGGCUUACAUGGGUCUGCACCAGCUGGGGUCCUCUUGCUGCAAGGAGAAGCAGACACAUGCCCCGAGCCCUAACCAGAAGCAUUGAUAACCAGUCGAUGGAUAACCACUUGCAAAUGAAAACUUCGUUUUCUUCAAGGGAGUUGCACUGGGGAAACAAACGACACUGAAGGGUAGGCUGCUUGCACUGCAGUAACGACUCUGAAGGGUAGGCUGCUUGCACUGCAGUAACGACUCUGAAGGGUAGGCUGCUUGCACUUC